CACCAUCAAGGCGCCUAAGAUUUUGAUUUUGCCAAGGAGGGUGCAUAUGACCAAACUUUCAUUAGAGUACAUACAGGAAAAGGCAGCAGGGCGAGAUACACAUUAUUCCCUGAUUUCAACACAGGACAGCAUCCAAAAUGCACCAACUUAAAAUCAUUCCUAGGCAAUGAAAGGAAUGGCCUCUCAGGUACAACCAACGAAUUGAUUCGAGUUAUGAUACAACACAGAGACAACACGCGGGCAAGAAGACAACAGGCUGGGCCAACGCUUCCAUCCAUCCAUGUACAAGAGAGCAGAUGUCGGCGCGCAGCUGACGGGGGUCGACAACACCAUCAAAACUCCCUGUGCGCCACUUGCAGUAUUGUGAGCACCUCUCCUCUUGAACCUGAAACGUCACCGGGGGUUAUAUGAUGAUGGGAAAGAUACUAUGGCAAGGUGAAAGGGUUAAAAAUUGCUGGAGGAUGAGUAUGGCAUACAUCGCUCGUAGAGCUCUGAGGCGAGCUCGAGGAGAGACUCGGUCUCCUCGGCCAUCUUGCCGAUCCUUUCAACCUCCAUCAUGUGCUCGUUUGCGAG
RNAcentral lists this long non-coding RNA (573 nucleotides) under Triticum aestivum (bread wheat). Its description in RNAcentral is "long non-coding RNA (TAES_LNC027455)". The record is from RNAcentral. Lineage: Eukaryota; Viridiplantae; Streptophyta; Magnoliopsida; Poales; Poaceae.